AAGGAAUGUUUUAAGGUGCCCCAAACGUCUUUAGGACGGGUGGUUGGAUCAGUUUGUGCUCUGAUGGGAGUGCUCACUAUUGCUCUUCCGGUUCCAGUUAUAGUUUCCAAU
RNAcentral lists this small RNA (111 nucleotides) under Caenorhabditis briggsae. Its description in RNAcentral is "sRNA CBG29694". Lineage: Eukaryota; Metazoa; Nematoda; Chromadorea; Rhabditida; Rhabditidae. The record is from RNAcentral.